CCGCCAAGAUGCCGGCUUACCACUCUUCUCUCAUGGAUCCUGAUACCAAACUCAUCGGAAACAUGGCACUGUUGCCUAUCAGAAGUCAAUUCAAAGGACCUGCCCCCAGAGAGAAAUGAAGCUGAUAGGACCUUGAUAUAUAUAACUCUCUACAUUUCUGAAUGUCUGAAGAAACUGCAAAAGGUAAUUAAACUUGGAUGAUUGUAUAUCAGGAAAACAAAUUGCUGAGAGGCAUUUACCCUCCCAGUCAUCUGGGAUUUGUUGAGACUUUAAAGACAGGUAGAAAAUAUUUCCUCUGACUUACAGCAUGGACUUAAGAGAAAAAUUUGAAUUUAGUUCUCUGAACUUGUAGUAUAAUUGACUGACACAAAGAUAAAAGUAGUGGUGUUUUAAGGCUUUGAAUAUAUUUUCUCAAGAUAGAAAUCUUGACAGAGGAAUUCCUUUUAAGCCCUUGACUCAAGGGUUCUUAACCUGGGGUCCAAGGAUAGAAUUCUUCUUUUCCCUGUAAAAUAUCUGUGUGUGUGUGUGUGUG
This 532-nucleotide small RNA is filed under the name Pan troglodytes (chimpanzee). RNAcentral's name for it is "retained intron". The record is from RNAcentral. Lineage: Eukaryota; Metazoa; Chordata; Mammalia; Primates; Hominidae.